This 492-nucleotide long non-coding RNA is filed under the name Nicotiana tabacum (common tobacco). RNAcentral describes it as "long non-coding RNA (NTAB_LNC013799)". Lineage: Eukaryota; Viridiplantae; Streptophyta; Magnoliopsida; Solanales; Solanaceae. The record is from RNAcentral.
UAAAAGUUCAACUCAUAUCCUAACAGUUUCAAUUCAUAUCCUAAAAAGUUCAAGUCAUACAUAAAAGCUUCAAUUUAUAUCCUACAAGUUCAAUUCACAAGAACAAAACCUAAAAACUAAAAGUUAUAUUCAUAUCUUACGAGUUUAAACAUAAACUAAAACUUCAAGUCAUAUCCUAAAGGUUCAAUACAUAUCCUAAAGGUUCAAUUUAUUUCCCUAAAGUUAAACUCAUAUCCUAAAAGUUUCAAUUCAUAUCUUAAAAAGUUCAAGUCAUACAUAAAAGCUUCAAUUAUAUCGUACAAGUUCAAUUCACAAGAACAAAAUCUAAAAACUAAAAGUUCAUCAAUUCUUAUCCUACGAGUUUAAACAUAACCUAAAAGUUCAAUUUAUAUCCUAAAGGUUCAAUUUAUAUCCACAAAAGUUCAAAUCAUAUCCUAAAAUUUCUAUUUAUAUCCUAAAAAUUCAACUCAUAUCCUAAAAGUUUAAAUUUAU